CUUCUUUUGUAGUUCAUGAGCAUGAUGAUUGGGUGUUCAUGCACAUGUGUGAGAUGUGCCACCCUUGAACCUUGUUACAACAUUGGCACAUUACCCAUCAGACC
This is a small nucleolar RNA of Saimiri boliviensis boliviensis (Bolivian squirrel monkey), 104 nucleotides long. NCBI's taxonomy places the organism in Eukaryota, Metazoa, Chordata, Mammalia, Primates, Cebidae. The record is from Ensembl.